AUUGAACGCUGGCGGCAGGCCUAACACAUGCAAGUCGAGCGAGCGGCGGACGGGUGAGCAAUGUAUGGGGACUGCCUGAUCGAGGGGGAUAACUACUGGAAACGGUGGCUAAUACCGCAUACUAUCGGAUAACCAUGAGGGGAUUAUCUAGUAGUUGGGGUAAAGGCUCACCAAGGCGACGAUCCCUAGCUGGUCUGAGAGGAUGAUCAGCCACACUGGGACUGAGACACGGCCCAGACUCCUACGGAGGCAGCAGUGGGGAAUAUUGCGCAAUGGGCGCAAGCCUGAUGCAGCCAUGCCGCGUGUAUGAAGAAGGCCUUAGGGUUGUAAAGUACUUUCAGCAGGGAGGCGUUACCCGAAGAAGAAGCACCGGCUAACUCCGUGCCAGCAGCCGCGGUAAUAC
This 403-nucleotide ribosomal RNA is filed under the name uncultured bacterium. RNAcentral describes it as "partial 16S ribosomal RNA". It matches the Rfam family "Bacterial small subunit ribosomal RNA", at positions 30 to 526 of the family's 1533-position model. The record is from RNAcentral.